GACGAACGCUGGCGGCGUGCUUAACACAUGCAAGUCGAACGAUGAAGCCGGAGCUUGCUCUGGUGAAUUAGUGGCGAACGGGUGAGUAACACGUGAGUAACCUGCCCUUGACUCUGGGAUAACUGCUAGAAAUGGUAGCUAAUACCGGAUACGACCCUCGGCGGCAUCGCCAGGGGGUGGAAAGAAUUUCGGUCAAGGAUGGACUCGCGGCCUAUCAGCUAGGUGGUGAGGUAACGGCUCACCAAGGCGACGACGGGUAGCCGGCCUGAGAGGGUGACCGGCCACACUGGGACGGAGACACGGCCCAGACUCCUACGGGAGGCAGCAGUGGGGAAGAUUGCAGAAUGGGCGCAAGCCUGAUGCAGCAACGCCGCGUGAGGGAUGACGGCCUUCGGGUUGUAAACCUCUUUUAGUAGGGAAGAAGCGAAAGUGACGGUACCUGCAGAAAAAGCACCGGCUAACUACGUGCCAGCAGCCGCCGUAA
This 484-nucleotide ribosomal RNA is filed under the name uncultured bacterium. Its description in RNAcentral is "partial 16S ribosomal RNA". It matches the Rfam family "Bacterial small subunit ribosomal RNA", at positions 28 to 523 of the family's 1533-position model. The record is from RNAcentral.